CAAUUUUAAAAAAUAUAAAAAUAUACAUAAUAUAUCUGAAUUUGGAUCAUUUUGAACUAGCUGCCUAAUGUUUCAAAAUUUUACUAUCGAAUUUUUCAAUUUGUUUAAUUUGAAUUGAUCAACAGUAUUUUGACUCCGCAAUUUAAUUAGCUAACUACUUACUUUAAUAAAUUUAUAGUUCCAAGAAUUAUAUAUAGUAUGCUAACUAAACUUGCAAUGAUAAACAACGUAUUGAAAUUUUAAAACCAAAAUAUCGUUGACAGAUUCAAAUCAAAUAAAUUAAAAAUAUUUUUCGAAAGAUUGAAAAUUAAUUAAAAUGGUCCAUAAUUUAAGUA
RNAcentral lists this long non-coding RNA (335 nucleotides) under Ananas comosus (pineapple). RNAcentral's name for it is "long non-coding RNA (ACOM_LNC002947)". The record is from RNAcentral. Lineage: Eukaryota; Viridiplantae; Streptophyta; Magnoliopsida; Poales; Bromeliaceae.